RNAcentral lists this ribosomal RNA (237 nucleotides) under uncultured Eubacteriales bacterium. Its description in RNAcentral is "uncultured Clostridiales bacterium partial 16S ribosomal RNA". It matches the Rfam family "Bacterial small subunit ribosomal RNA", at positions 97 to 334 of the family's 1533-position model. Lineage: Bacteria; Bacillati; Bacillota; Clostridia; Eubacteriales. The record is from RNAcentral.
GGCGGACGGGUGAGUAACACGUGAGUAACCUGCCUUAGACAUUGGGAUAGCCUCGGGAAACCGGGAUUAAUACCAAAUAAAAUCAUAAUGACACAUGUCAUAACGAUCAAAACUCCGGUGGUCUAAGAUGGACUCGCGUCCCAUUAGCUAGUUGGUAGAGUAAAAGCCUACCAAGGCGACGAUGGGUAGCCGGCCUGAGAGGGUGAACGGCCACAUUGGAACUGAGAUACGGCCCAG